This 192-nucleotide unclassified non-coding RNA is filed under the name plant metagenome. Its description in RNAcentral is "partial contains small subunit ribosomal RNA and internal transcribed spacer 1". The stretch from base 1 to 46 matches the Rfam family "Eukaryotic small subunit ribosomal RNA", at positions 1786 to 1831 of the family's 1831-position model. The record is from RNAcentral.
AAGUCGUAACAAGGUCUCCGUAGGUGAACCUGCGGAGGGAUCAUUACCGAGUGAGGGCCCCGCCCGACCUCCCAACCCUUUGUAAAUCGACCCUGUUGCCUCGGGGACUCCGGCGUCUUCGGGCACCGGGCCCCGGUGGACCCCAACCUCUGCGUCUUUGCGUCUGAGUCUUGAAUGAUAAAAUCAAUAAAA